This 377-nucleotide ribosomal RNA is filed under the name uncultured eukaryote. RNAcentral describes it as "SSU rRNA". It matches the Rfam family "Eukaryotic small subunit ribosomal RNA", at positions 587 to 972 of the family's 1831-position model. The record is from RNAcentral.
AGCUCUGUAAGCGUAUACCAAAGUUGUUGCAGUUAAAACGCUCGUAGUCGAACCUUGGCGGUUGUUUUGCGUCAUCCUCACGGAUGGCUGUGAUUCGGCCGCCUUUGUGGAGGGGGGUGUAGUGGUUCUUUACUGAAUUACUGCAUUUCCGCCACCGUCUACUGUGAAAAAAUUAGAGUGUUCAAAGCAGGCAAUGGCCGUGAAUACAUUAGCAUGGAAUAAUAGAAUAGGACCUGUGUUCUAUUUUGUUGGUUUGUUAGAAACGGGUAAUGAUUAAGAGGGAUGGUUGGGGGCAUUUGUAUUCCAGCGCUAGAGGUGAAAUUCUUGGAUUGUUGGAAGACAAACUGCUGCGAAAGCGUCUGCCAAGGACAUUUUCA